CUAUAGUAGAAAAGGGUAGUUCAACAUGCUUGCUUCAUUAUUUAGGGGUAUUUUUGUCUUUUCACAUUUAGGGGUAUUUUUGUCUUUUCAAUUUUCUCUAAUGGCUAGGUGUCAUCUUGUUGCUUAAUCAAUUUUUGCCCUUUCACUUUCCUAUUGCAAGGUGUCUUUCAAUGGUGAUCUGAAUGUAUGCAUGUGUUCCUCUAUGUCAUCCUUCUAUUUUCCCUCUACUGAUAUCACUAUUUUCACAUCAAAGUUCACACCAUUUACCAGAGACCCUUUUAAGCUCAAAGGCCUUUCCUGAUUUUUCGAUAAAGGUAAGACAUUCAGCGUCCAAAUAAAGAAGUUGUUUGCCAAAAACAAGGAUGCAUCUUCAGCAAAACUGUUUAUCAUGUCAAUCACCGAGAAAGAUAUUGCUAGCAAUCUGCCACUGCCCGUCAACGCACCAACAACUCCAGAAAGCAGUAAACGCAAGCUGAAGCAAAUCAUGAUAAAAGAAGACUAAAAGGUAUUCUCUCUACACGACUGUCAAUUGCUAUGCAGCA
Molecule: long non-coding RNA, 542 nt
Organism: Solanum pennellii
Lineage: Eukaryota; Viridiplantae; Streptophyta; Magnoliopsida; Solanales; Solanaceae
Exons: 3
Source: RefSeq, a predicted model, not a curated record